GUCAUGGAGGACUUGUUUGCUGUCGAGGUCUUUGGUGACGAGCUACAGGCAGGUGAUGAGGAGUUCACCAUGGUUGUAGGGUACAGGAAGAUCUUCAGUUUCCUUACUUUGCUUGGACUGAGGUAGGACCAGUAGAGAUGUGGUUCUUUCCAAGGCAUUUCCUGUUGAUCUUGUCAGCAUCCGGUAUGGUGAGGUUAGAAAAACUUCUUAUUUUCAUUGAAGUUCAACGAGUGUAAAAGAAGCGAUAUAUUCAGUACGAGCUGCAGAUCAUUCAUGCUUCUCAUGGAUGCGUUAUUUCUUCUUACCUACACAGUAGACUAAAGACAUACCUACCACAGAGCCACUUUCAAUUCUGCUUUCCAA
This is a long non-coding RNA of Mercenaria mercenaria, 363 nucleotides long. RefSeq lists it as uncharacterized. The record is from RefSeq and is a predicted model, not a curated record. Lineage: Eukaryota; Metazoa; Mollusca; Bivalvia; Venerida; Veneridae. The transcript is spliced from 3 exons.